This 849-nucleotide ribosomal RNA is filed under the name uncultured Campylobacterota bacterium. Its description in RNAcentral is "bacterial SSU rRNA". It matches the Rfam family "Bacterial small subunit ribosomal RNA", at positions 631 to 1482 of the family's 1533-position model. Lineage: Bacteria; Pseudomonadati; Campylobacterota. The record is from RNAcentral.
AACUGGGAGCCUAGAGUUCAGAAGGGGCAGAUGGAAUUAGUGGUGUAGGGGUAAAAUCCGUAGAUAUCACUAGGAAUAUCAAAAGCGAAGGCGAUCUGCUGGGAUGAUACUGACGCUGAGGCACGAAAGCGUGGGGAGCAAACAGGAUUAGAUACCCUGGUAGUCCACGCCCUAAACGAUGAAUGCUAGUCGUCGGGGAGCUCGUCUCUUCGGUGAUGCACUUAACAGAUUAAGCAUUCCGCCUGGGGAGUACGGUCGCAAGAUUAAAACUCAAAGGAAUAGACGGGGACCCGCACAAGUGGUGGAGCAUGUGGUUUAAUUCGAAGAUACACGAAGAACCUUACCUGGCCUUGACAUGGUAGGAACCCUUAAGAGAUUAGGGGGUGCUAGCUUGCUAGAACCUACACACAGGUGCUGCACGGCUGUCGUCAGCUCGUGUCGUGAGAUGUUGGGUUAAGUCCCGCAACGAGCGCAACCCUCGUCUUUAGUUGCUAACAGUUAGGCUGAGCACUCUAAAGAGACUGCCUCCGUAAGGAGGAGGAAGGUGAGGACGACGUCAAGUCAUCAUGGCCCUUACGGCCAGGGCUACACACGUGCUACAAUGGGGCGUACAGAGGGCUGCAAUACCGCGAGGUGGAGCCAAUCCCUUAAAGCGUCUCUCAGUUCGGAUUGUUCUCUGCAACUCGGGAACAUGAAGCUGGAAUCACUAGUAAUCGUAGAUCAGCUAUGCUACGGUGAAUACGUUCCCGGGUCUUGUACUCACCGCCCGUCACACCAUGGGAGUUGAUUUCACCCGAAAUCGGGAUGCCAAACUGGCUACCGCUUACGGUGGAAUUAGCGACUGGGGUG